Long non-coding RNA from Mus pahari (shrew mouse), 1811 nucleotides. RefSeq lists it as uncharacterized. The record is from RefSeq and is a predicted model, not a curated record. The transcript is spliced from 3 exons. NCBI's taxonomy places the organism in Eukaryota, Metazoa, Chordata, Mammalia, Rodentia, Muridae.
CUGUGGCUGCCGCUGCCUCUGCCGCCCGAGACCCAGCCGGCCUGAGCUCUCAGCACCCAGGCUGCAGCCGUGGCCACGUGGCGUCCGCUCCCCCCACCGCCCGCCUGAGACGCUCCCCCCGACGAUGCGCGACGUAACCUUCGGGGUGCUGGUGGGCUUGGGGGACGCUUUUAGUUUUUUUUUAGCUGUUUUUUGUUUGUUUGGUUUUUGUUUUUGCUAAACGGGAGCACUUCCUGUCUGGCAAGGAAGUGCGGCUGAGAGCCUGCUGGGAGAUGUAGUGUGGAGGGACUGGUGUAGUUCUGGCUCCUGCCUGACUUCCUGUCUGGCGAAGGAAGCGAGGGCUCGGGCCUGCUGGGAGAUGUAGGUUUUUUUUCUACUUUGGUAGUUUUUCUCGUGCCUGAGUUCCUGUCUGCACAGGAAAGGAGGCCCGAGGCAUGCUGGGAGGUGUAGUCUUUUGUAGUUCUAUAGUUUUACUCGUGCCUGACAUCCUGUCUGCACAGGAAAAGACGCCCAAGGCAUGCUGGGAGGUGUAGUCCUUUUGUAGUUUUUGAGUUUUUCUCCUGCCUGACUUCCUGUCUGCACAGGAAGGGCGCCCCGGAGACCCUUGAGGCAGGCUGGGAGGUGUAGUCUGGGGCCCGUGGUGUCCCAGCCGGCUGCUGUCCAGAGCCCCCUGCUGGAGAUCCGUGCCACCGUCCCCUCCCCCGAGGUACCUCCCAGCCGCGAGCCUCCACCCGCACGGCCACGCCCACUGACAGAGACACAUGGACCCCCGAGGUCAAGAUGUGGUGACAGCAACGACAACCCCCGGGCCACGCCCAGGGGCCCUACCUGCGCCAUGACCUGAGGAUCAAGAGCUGGAGGUCAAGAACACAGCAGCCAAUGACAAACUGAAGAAGAUGGUGAAAGACCAGCAAGAGGCUGAGAAGAAAAAGGUCAUGAGCCAAGAAAUCCAGGAGCAGCUGCACAGACAGCAGGAAGUGAUCUCGGACAAGCAGAUGAGUGUCAAGUAGGACCUCAAUAAAGUGGAGCCUGCUGUCAUCGAGGCCCAGAACGGUAGUCACUGCUGUCAGCUUGGGCUCAGCUUCACUGUGUGUGUGGCAGGAUCAGGUUUGGGCUUCCUGUGAGGCCCUGUGGUGUACAUUUCUCCAAGUGUUGAAGCAAACAUCUGAACCUUUUUUAAGUUCCUCAGCCUGGUCUCCUCUUAGAGCUCACAUGACACUAUCUGAAUUCACUGUAAUAAAGCCCUUCUCUUAAGAGAAAACUAGCAAAAAUUUGUCUUGAGCAGCCUCAUGCCACAAGCCUGUGAUCACAAGGACUAGUGAAGCCAAGNCAAGAAAAUACUGAGACCCACUCUCAAAAAAAGUAAAAGACUGGGGGCUGGGAAGAUGGCUGAGCAGCGAAGAGCUGUGUCUGCUCUUGCAGAAGGCCCGGGUUCAGUUCCCAGCACCCACGUGCAGGUCUUACCUACCUGUAACUCNGGUUGAUGGUUCAGUCUCCUCCCCUGGCCGCCUCAGGCACUGCAAACACAGGACACACAGGAUACUCAUACAUACCUGCAGGCAAAAUACACGCUGUGCUGUUGCUGCACACCUCUAAUCCCAGCUCUUGAAUGACACAGGCAGGCAGUCCUGAGUGUGAGUUCAGCCUAGUCUACAUUUUUAAACAAAAUAAAAACGGGCUGUGCUGUUUAGGGGUUGAUCACUUCCCUGGCUGGCNAGAAAAAAAUGUUAGUGCUGCUCCUUUGUGUUGUGGGCUUUUUGUUGGUGGUAGUAGGGUUUUCCCUGGGUCACUCUGCCUCCCAGGCUGGCCUU